UUUACCUUGGUGUAAGGCACGUAAAAUUUUGAUUUUUAAGGAAAUUCUAUUUAGGUAAAU
This 60-nucleotide transfer RNA is filed under the name Hyalella tiwanaku. RNAcentral's name for it is "tRNA-Gln". The record is from RNAcentral. Lineage: Eukaryota; Metazoa; Arthropoda; Malacostraca; Amphipoda; Hyalellidae.